GAUGAACGCUGGCGGCGUGCCUAAUACAUGCCAGUCGAGCGAACAGACGAGGAGCUUGCUCCUCUGACGUUAGCGGCGGACGGGUGAGUAACACGUGGAUAACCUACCUAUAAGACUGGGAUAACUUCGGGAAACCGGAGCUAAUACCGGAUAAUAUAUUGAACCGCAUGGUUCAAUAGUUAAAGACGGUUUUGCUGUCACUUAUAGAUGGAUCCGCGCCGCAUUAGCUAGUUGGUAAGGUAACGGCUUACCAAGGCAACGAUGCGUAGCCGACCUGAGAGGGGGAUCGGCCACACUGGAACUGAGACACGGUCCAGACUCCUACGGGAGGCAGCAGGAGGGAAGCUUCCGCAAUGGGCGAAAGCUUGACGGAGCAACGCCGCGUGAGUGAUGAAGGUCUUCGGAUCGUAAAACUCUGUUAUUAGGGAAGAACAAAUGUGUAGUAACUAUGCACGUCUUGACGGUACCUAAUCAGAAAGCCACGGCUAACUACGUG
This 496-nucleotide ribosomal RNA is filed under the name uncultured bacterium. RNAcentral's name for it is "partial 16S ribosomal RNA". It matches the Rfam family "Bacterial small subunit ribosomal RNA", at positions 28 to 507 of the family's 1533-position model. The record is from RNAcentral.